AAGCCGUGUUCCGAUACGAUCACCGAAGUUAAGCAACAUCCACCUAAGUCAGUACUUAGAUGGGUGACCACUUGGGAAUGGCAGGUGCUGUAAG
This is a non-coding RNA of Acanthosepion pharaonis, 94 nucleotides long. The record is from the annotation of a GenBank genome assembly. NCBI's taxonomy places the organism in Eukaryota, Metazoa, Mollusca, Cephalopoda, Sepiida, Sepiidae.